GCUCCAGUGGCGCAGUUGGUUAGCGCUUCGUGCUUAUAACUGUUAACGAUGUUACGGCUUAUGCCUUAUGUCACGGUCGUGUGAGAAACGCGACGGUCGUGGGUUCGAAACCCUCCUGGAGCA
Babjeviella inositovora NRRL Y-12698 is the source of this 123-nucleotide transfer RNA. It matches the Rfam family "tRNA". From Rfam's summary of the family: Transfer RNA (tRNA) molecules are approximately 80 nucleotides in length. Lineage: Eukaryota; Fungi; Ascomycota; Pichiomycetes; Serinales. The record is from Rfam.